This 262-nucleotide ribosomal RNA is filed under the name unidentified marine bacterioplankton. RNAcentral's name for it is "partial 16S ribosomal RNA". It matches the Rfam family "Bacterial small subunit ribosomal RNA", at positions 47 to 339 of the family's 1533-position model. RNAcentral also lists the same sequence under 1 other name. The record is from RNAcentral.
CUUAACACAUGCAAGUCGAACGAGGCCUUCGGGCUAGUGGCGGACGGGUGAGUAACGCGUGGGAAUCUGCCCUCAGGAGGGGGAUAACGGCCGGAAACGGCCGCUAAUACCCCAUAUGCCGAGAGGUGAAACGAAAUUCGCCUGAGGAUGAGCCCGCGUCUGAUUAGCUAGUUGGUGUGGUAAUGGCUCACCAAGGCUUCGAUCAGUAGCUGGUCUGAGAGGAUGAUCAGCCACACUGGGACUGAGACACGGCCCAGACUCC